AACGACUCUCGGCAACGGAUAUCUCGGCUCUCGCAUCGAUGAAGAACGC
RNAcentral lists this ribosomal RNA (49 nucleotides) under Luffa aegyptiaca (smooth loofah). RNAcentral describes it as "partial 5.8S ribosomal RNA". It matches the Rfam family "5.8S ribosomal RNA", at positions 1 to 46 of the family's 154-position model. From Rfam's summary of the family: 5.8S ribosomal RNA (5.8S rRNA) is a component of the large subunit of the eukaryotic ribosome. It is transcribed by RNA polymerase I as part of the 45S precursor that also contains 18S and 28S rRNA. Lineage: Eukaryota; Viridiplantae; Streptophyta; Magnoliopsida; Cucurbitales; Cucurbitaceae. The record is from RNAcentral. RNAcentral also lists the same sequence under 2 other names.